GCAAAAUUAAAUUUAUAAGAGGAGGAGAUUUCUAGAAAAGAUACAAAUACAAUCACAGAGAUUAUUAGAAAUUUAUAUUUGCCUCUUUCUACUUAAUUGGUGCUUAUUGUCAAAACUGCUGGAUUUCAGUUUUCCAAUUUAUCUUUGCUCCCCAGAUAUUAGAUACAGUCCCAGACACAAAGGAAGAAACAUGAAUAAAUGGAAGACAGUAGAUAAAAGGAAGCACAAAUAUUAUAUCUGUAUUCAUUGCAUAUCUCGAUUCAUAUCCUUUACUGUUCCACCUUUCAAUGAUCCAUCAAAAUUGGUGAUUUUUUUUUCUUCUGCUCUAAUCUUGAAUGAUUUUGUUCUAAGCAGAGACACAACCACAAGAUAAAGCCAUCAAGAGAAUGGCAGCUUGUUCUUCCUCUCCCAGCUUCUUCUUCCAUUCUUCCUGCAACAAUAUAUCCCUUCCAGCAACCACCAAUCCCAGCUUCAGAGGAACUCCUGGCUUACUUUUGCUGCUUUUAGCUAUCUUCCUUCUGCUCUUCUCUGCUCUUCCAUUGUCCAAACCAAGAAGAGUCCUCCUCUUCUUCCUAUAUCUGAUCCCACAGGCAUUGCACAAAGUCUAGAAACAAAAUUGUAUUGAAACAGCAGUAAGACCAGAGCUUUAAAAACUCGUAAUAAAUAUGAAACAAAAAUAUUGAAUAUAAUUGGAAAUGUUUAAUGAGGAAUGAUGCAAACCUUGGGACCAGCUGGACCACCUCUCCAGCAUGGUGUUCUUGUGGUGUGGCAAUCUAUACAGCUUUUAUUGAGCUCGUUACACCUGCUUUGUGGAGUAUCAUGCAUAUCCUCUGACUCUUGCCCCUGUUUAAUCAGAUGAAAAUAUUCAAUGAUCACCUAAUUAGGGGGAAGGUAAAAAAAGAAGUAAGACCACUGUUCAAGAAGGGUAAGGCCACUUACAUUCGUGUUCAAAUCCAUAAUCAUCAUUACACUAAGGUUAAUAUACUAAAGAAGAAAGUGUUCAAAGAUUAGUUAAUAUGCAAAGCAGAGACAUACGUAGACGUAAAAGAAAGACAAGCCCGCCUCCAAGAUAAAGAAAUGCUUAUCGAGAGAGCAAUAAAAUAGACAGAACUUUCGAAACAGAAAUCGAGAGAUAGAAGUAAUGUAAAUCCAGAGGAGUGAUGGGAAAGGAAGAAGAAACUGAGAAAAACAGGGGAAUGAGAAGUAGGGAUGAGGUUUGCAAAAUAUAGAACAUCUGGCACAGUCAAUAAUCAGUAUACAGCUCUAGGCAAUUUUUGAAUGAUGGGGCUGCGGCGCAAAAACCCUAAUUCUAGUAUAUUUUCUUUGACCAGAAUACCCCCUUCAAUUAUCCCAUUUCAUUCUUUGCAAAAAAGUAAUUAGCCAUAGGAAAAUAGUAAGCAUUAGUUAGACGUUGAUCUCAACAUUUGAGGUCUCCUAAUACAAUGGCUAAAUGAUUGAAAAUAAGAUAAUGGCUAAAUCAUCCGUGAAAAUUAAUUUCACGACUUUACUUUAAUGGGUGACAGGUUCGAAGCUUUUCAAAACUCUCUGUACAUAGCUCGAGGAGUUGCAACCAAG
RNAcentral lists this unclassified non-coding RNA (1575 nucleotides) under Hevea brasiliensis (rubber tree). Lineage: Eukaryota; Viridiplantae; Streptophyta; Magnoliopsida; Malpighiales; Euphorbiaceae. The record is from RNAcentral.